UUCCCCAGUUCACUCCCCUCAGCUCAUACUCUUUGUCCUAUCGCAUUUUCCAUGACUUUCCGCUCUUCAUCAAACCUAGUAUAAAGACACUCAGGUUCAAUCGCUUCUUCAGGUCCUCGUUUUCUCACGAAGUCUCCCAUGUCACAUACACCUUAUGUUAAAUAAAUUUCUAUGCUUUUCUCUUAUUCAUCUGUGUUUUGUUAGAAGGGCCCCAGCCAGAUACCUAGAAGGGUAGAAGGAAAAGAUAUUUUUCUUCCCCUGCACAACCCAUCAAGAUAAACAAUGUGAAGACAAACAAACUCCAAACUUAAGAGAAGAUAGAGAGUAUCUCUAUGUUACAAAGGCAUCAAACAUUAUCUGGCGAAGUUGGGCAUCACUUCUUUUUAUCAAAUGAAUCCUGUUUCCCAUUCAUUUCUACUAUAAAUAGGAAACGUGAUUCCACAGGAAACAAAAAAGAGAGCUUAUGGCAAAAAGGAAAGAUACGGUGGACAGGGGGUCAGCACAGCGGCCUCUCCUGAACUGUGGUCCUCAGAGCACCGAGCUCCCCAGAAACUGGAAACGCCACGCGCGUCCACUGUGGAAGAGCGCUGACUAACGGCUCCCCUCAUCGUGUCCUAAACCUGUAACUUUCUACAUCCGGUUUCUUAAAAGUAACACAAUAAAAAGUGUCACAGAGGGUAGAGGUUAAGGACAGGCCACAAACCCUCACACACACACUGAAACAACAGCACGACAAGAACUGAAAAGAGGACGGUUCCGAAACCGUGAGGCCCCCAGUGCCAUCUGUGUGAGCGUCUCCUUCCAUGGCACAGUCCUAAGCACUCCCAGGGCUCAGGGAAGCCGAGGACUGAAUCCCAGAGAGAGAGGCAGCGACAACGAGAUUACAGCUUCACUUCGCCCCGAUGUUCUCCAGGACUUGGGGCAGCCGCUUAGCCUCAGACCAUCUCAGCUCACCCAUCAGCAAAAGGGUUCUGUGGCUUUCCUGCAUAGCUCCAAAAGAAAAUGAAAAGGUGAACUAGAAACUGCAAGUCACUCUGAAUCCCUUGGAUAAAGGUCUUAUAAAUAUUUAUUACUGUUGUUAUUAUUACAGUGAAACAUGCUUCAGCCCUCGACACAACUAUUUCGACUGGACGAGCAAUGCUCACGGGGAGAGAAGAUAAAAGCUCGCUGUCACUGAGUAGCCAUGUGAACUGGAAUCUAGGCAGCAUCCGCCAUGUAAUAUUU
This 1224-nucleotide long non-coding RNA is filed under the name Equus caballus (horse). RNAcentral's name for it is "lncRNA (ENSECAG00000049600.1)". Lineage: Eukaryota; Metazoa; Chordata; Mammalia; Perissodactyla; Equidae. The record is from RNAcentral.